This 1346-nucleotide long non-coding RNA is filed under the name Nicotiana tabacum (common tobacco). RNAcentral's name for it is "long non-coding RNA (NTAB_LNC015856)". The record is from RNAcentral. Lineage: Eukaryota; Viridiplantae; Streptophyta; Magnoliopsida; Solanales; Solanaceae.
UUUUCUUAAAGUUUAACACAUACAAAAAUACCAAAGCAUGCAAUUGGUAAAUUAUUUUUACUAUAGAGGCAAAUAAAGAUUCUCAAAACAAGGGUUGCUAUAAACUAGCAAAUCCAUCUCACCUAUAAUCAACAACAAUACUCCUAGCUAGAAUAGAAGCCCCCUGCCAUUUGCAGAUCAAUGCCCCUCUUUUAGAUGAAAUAACAAACUGGAACCAGCUACUCAACCAAACUUCACACAUUUACACACCAUAAUUAGAACAAAUGAUAUCCAAUCGGUAGAUAAAUUUCAUAAAUGAGCUGAAACCAAUAACCAACAUCUCUGCAGGAAGAAAAAAUUAUAAGGCACUCUGAGUCCUCGUGAAAUUCUACAAGCACAUGGUUAAAUGAAGGAUAAUAGAACUACUUCCGCUGAACUUUGAACAACAGAUGUAGUUAUUAAAUGAAAAUUUCAAAAAAGCUGAUAUGGUACACACUCCUAACAAUAUGCAUCAACAUUAUAAUGAGAUGUCAAUUUUACGUUUGAUUAGGUUGGUUGAACUGCACUAAAACAUACAUAUAAACCUUACCAUUCGACAAACAUUGCAGAGUCCUCUCAAAUAAUUUAUCCAUAAUACCAACAAUAGAAAGCUUAGUAUGUAUAAUUUUCUGACUCCUCCCAAAGAUAAAUAAACUCAGCAAAUUCGGCAUCUUCAUAAGAGUAGGCAAGGCAUAAUAGUCAUAAGGAACAGUAUUAACAACCAAGCAGGUUUUAUCUUCCUUCAAACCUCGUGACUUUAGUUUUUUCCUGGAUUAUAAAACACUUCAAACUCUCCUUAGACGAUUAUUCAAACUAAAAGAACGGUGCUCUAGUUCUCCGGAUGCAGAAAUAUACAAAAUAGAAGCGAAUAAAAGAACAAAUCCAAUAAAUUAGACGAUUUCAUCUUCCUUGAGUGUCUACACUAUCGCUUUGAGUACCGAUCGUUAGCCAGCACCAAAAUUCUCAAUAUAUCAUAGUAAUAAAAUAAAAGAGGGCAACCAUUUCAAAUACAUUUAAUUAGAAAUUUAGUCGAGUGAAAAAAUAGAAUGAAACACUUACCCAAAAAUAUAGUAGCCUUGAUCAAAACAUAAAUUGAUCGGAGUGCUGAAAGUUAUAUGAAGCAAGUCCAAAGGAAAUUUCCUGUUGGCUGGUGCAAAGAUUGCGUCUUGCUGCUAUAACAAUUAAAUGCUCGAGAAUUUCACGAAAAUUGAUGCAAAGAUUGCGUCUUGCUACAAAACUGUCUUGGGGGUUGAGGAAAGGGGAGAAAUUGCUAGGGUUUCUGAGAGAAGAACCUAGACAUUGACUUUUAAAUCCUUUUAACUUUCAAU